GAGGGUAUAGCUCAGUGGUAGAGUGUGUGCUUAGCAUGCAUGAAGUCCUGGGUUCAAUCCCCAGUACCUCCA
Molecule: transfer RNA, 72 nt
Filed under: Camelus bactrianus (Bactrian camel)
Lineage: Eukaryota; Metazoa; Chordata; Mammalia; Artiodactyla; Camelidae
Also listed under: 2 other names
Rfam family: tRNA
About the family: Transfer RNA (tRNA) molecules are approximately 80 nucleotides in length. Their secondary structure includes four short double-helical elements and three loops (D, anti-codon, and T loops).
Source: Rfam by way of RNAcentral